This 1129-nucleotide long non-coding RNA is filed under the name Helianthus annuus (common sunflower). Its description in RNAcentral is "sRNA HanXRQr2_Chr08g0322851". The record is from RNAcentral. Lineage: Eukaryota; Viridiplantae; Streptophyta; Magnoliopsida; Asterales; Asteraceae.
UAAACAAGAAGAUUUGGGCUGAUGUGGCACGUUCUUAGGGCUUCUCAGGAUUCAUUUUGGCGGGAAAAUGAGUUGAGUUUUAUAUCAUCCGCGGAUACCCAUUUUGAUGUGAUCCGACCCGUUUUAUGACCCGGGUAUAUAAGUUACAUAAAAAAACCUAAUUUCCUGUAGCCCCAUUCUUUUCCUUCACCGCUUCACAACCAAACCCUAGCCUCCGUCUUCCUUGAAGCUUCUACAUCUAAUUUUCUCUGAAAAGAUAGGUGUCGCUUGUGCUUUGAAUCGACUGAUAAAGGAUUCCAAAAUCAAACCGAUUCACUUACAAAUGGUGGUGGCCUGAAAAGGAACGAUGACAACGACAUUGGUUGAUUUAGGUUUUCCCAGUGGUGGUCUUAUGAUGGUUGUGGUUUAACGCAACAACGAAAUGGCGGCGGCUAGGGUUUCACCAACACAUAAAUCGAUCUGGACCGACCGGUGUUGACGAAAAAGGAAUUACUCUUUGUUUUCGGAAGGAUGUUUGGGGGUUUAGCUAUGACAUGUUCUGAUAAACUUUCUGAUGUACCGACUAAUCUUUAGGUCAAAUUUAACUUUCUUAUUCAUUUAUUUUCGUUCUUGCAGUUAUCUAAUGGAUGAAGAUGUACUUGAUUAUAAAUGACAUAUUUGCCAUCAUUUUUUGCACAUAUGAUACUGCAAUUUGGUGUUUGUAAAGUAAGAGAUGUGGACUAAAGUUGUUUCUGUCAUGAAAAUAACUUAUGUGGUAGUUUGUUAGUUUCAUUUUUUAUGACACAUUGUUCAUUAUUAUUUAUUAUUUUGGAAUUUUUUUUGUCAGGUGCCCAAGGGAAAAUGGGUUCCUUUUUUUAAAAGUUUGAGUUGGAGAAUAUAUGUUCGGAAUUUCGCAUCAUACAUGCCUGUCACGUUGAUUUGUGAUCACCAUGUUAUUGAUGGUAUGUGUUGUUAUGGCUAUAAUUAUGUGUCUAAAUGGACUCGGUUGGGUAACGGGUCAGAUGGGUAUAUUUGUUGAUACAUAUAUUUGUUCAUGUAUAUUAUUUAAUCGAAAACAAUUAAUUAUAAACUAAUAAGAGUUCUAUUUUCUAUAUUGGUUGCUUUUUAAAGUAGGGGAAAAUGGUAAUGG